Molecule: RNA transcript, 2227 nt
Organism: Ahaetulla prasina
Lineage: Eukaryota; Metazoa; Chordata; Lepidosauria; Squamata; Colubridae
Gene: UBE2G1
Gene name: ubiquitin conjugating enzyme E2 G1
Exons: 7
Source: RefSeq, a predicted model, not a curated record
GGGGAGAAAAAGAGAAAAGAAAGCUGAGGGGAAGGUGUUGGAGCGGCAGACGCGGGGCGAGCGGCAGCGUUGAGCGCCCUCCCGCGCGCUUUCUUUCCCCCUCCCCACCCUCUCCACACGCACACACCUGGUCCGACGCUGCUCCCGAAUUCUCUCAGAAUAGUUUCUCCUCGUAGUUCCCCCUCCCCCUUAUUCCCCCCUCCCUCCCCCCCCGCGGCGGAGGGACUCGCGGCGCUGCUGUGGCGGCGGCGCCGGCGCUGAGAGGACGGGCGGGCAGGCAGGCCCCCGGCGGCGGGGUCGGCGCGAGCGGGGAGGGACGAGGGCUCGCCGGCUAGCUGGCUCGAGCCCGGCAGUCGUAGGAGCGGGAGGAUUAGCAGCAGCAGCUGCGCCGCCGCCGCCGCCGCCGCCGCCGCCCCAGACUCCCUCCCCGGGCACCGGUGGGGAGAAUGACGGAGCUCCAGUCCGCGCUGCUACUGCGGAGACAGCUGGCAGAGCUCAACAAAAACCCAGUGGAAGGCUUCUCAGCAGGUUUAAUAGAUGACAAUGAUCUUUAUCGAUGGGAAGUUCUUAUUAUUGGGCCUCCAGAUACACUCUAUGAAGGCGGUGUCUUCAAGGCUCAUCUUACUUUCCCAAAAGACUAUCCUCUCAGGCCGCCAAAAAUGAAAUUUAUCACAGAAAUAUGGCAUCCAAAUGUUGACAAAAAUGGUGAUGUCUGUAUUUCUAUCCUUCAUGAACCUGGUGAAGACAAGUAUGGCUAUGAGAAACCUGAGGAGCGCUGGCUUCCCAUUCAUACAGUGGAAACCAUAAUGAUUAGUGUAAUCUCUAUGCUGGCAGAUCCCAACGGCGAUUCUCCUGCUAAUGUUGAUGCAGCGAAAGAAUGGAGGGAAGAUAGAAAUGGAGAAUUCAAAAGAAAAGUUGCCCGCUGUGUAAGAAAAAGCCAAGAAACUGCUUUUGAGUGACACUUAAUUCAGUUAGUAGCUUCACUUUUUUCAGGGAUGAAGAGGUACAGCCUAAAUACUGCAAAAAGUGUCUCAGCCCAUGGAAGGAAAAGGAGAAUGGGAAACAUCUCAGAAGGGACACUCCCCAGUUUUCUGGAAAGUAAAAGGAGGGGAGAAAUUCUUUCAGACUUGCAAGAUUCUGUUACUGUAACCUUACAAUAAAGGUUUCCAAUUGAGGAAUAUGGCACUGUUUUUCCUGCACUCUACCCACCUAUUGCUGGACUUCUGUUUAUACCAAGUUGGCAGACACUGGCAGGAACUGGGCUGCAAUAAAACAUGGCAGUUAUUAAUGCUGACAAGGAGUCUAACAAGUGCCAACAAAGAUUUGUGCAUUUUGAAAACUAAUGGAACUGCUUUAACCUUCAGGAAGAAUUGUAAAGAUGUGUACAUAGCACAACAUGAUCCGGAUAAUAUAUAUACUGUUCAUGUACAUCCACAAAUACACAUUGUACCAAAUAAUGCUGUCUUGUAGUUAGAAUAAGAAUCGUGUAAAUUCUAAAGAUUUUUAGCAGGUUCUUUUUUUCUCCACUCCAAUUCAUGGGGUUCUUUUCUUAUGAGCCUUUUCUCAAAUUUUCUCAUGAAGCAUGUUGGACUAAAACAAAUUAGGAUUAAAAAAAAUUCCAUUUUAACUUUUCUUUUCAGCCAUUAAAGCUUCAUUAAAAAUCUCACUUUAAUAAAAAUUUAAUACCUUUGUAACUUCCUUCCCCUCAACAUUUUUUGGGAGUACAUUAAUAAAACAUUGAGAUCUGUCAUUUGAUUCUGAUGAUGACUUGAGCAUUGUCAUCAGGUGAUGCAUUUAUUCCCCUUAUGUUUUUACCUAGCUGUGCUCAUCUUUUGGCUUGGAUGCAGCAAUAAGAUUUACAGCCAUGAAUUACGCUUGAGCCUACUAGUUGUUCCCAAAAGGGCUGAGAGCAUUUGCUUUGAAAGUGGUCAGCUAUGUAAGUUAGCCCAAUAUAGGUUGAACCACUUUUUUUAAUUUCUUGCCUGAUUUGAAGUUGGAUAAAUAAAAGCAUGCAGAGCUAUAGGCUUCAAGUGAGUUCUGGUUUUGCUAUCAUAUACUCUCCCCUCUUUUACCUCUUCUUUUUCCUCUUUUUUGCAUUCUGAUCCCAUACAGAUUUUCCUCACUUAAUGUAUAAAGAGAAAUUGCAAUGUAUAUUUUCAUGUAACUUGAUUUUGGAAUUCUGUCACCUUCUGUAGUGAGUUCUUCCAAAAUAUAAAUUUUUCCAAUA